UUCUCAACUUAAUUUGGGCCAAAAUGCAAUAACCUCAACUUUUGGGCUAUAUUGCAAAAACACAAACUUUUGGGGUCACUUUGUAAAAACACAAAAGUCCACUACUUCAUGUAAUUACAACUAGAACCCAAAAAUUUCAAUAAAUUCAAAACUUCAUUAAAGGAGCAAAACAAUUUGUCCUUUAGCGUUUUUAGGCCUUAACGUCAAAACGUAAACUUUCGGGUCAAAAUACAAAUACACAAAAGUAUCAAAACUUUAUGUAAUUGCAUAAAAGCCCCAAAAAUACCCUAUUUUAAUAGGGUGGCCGGUUUUAGGGAGAAAAAAGGAGUGGAGAUAAGUCCACAAAAAUUUGGAAAUUUUUCAACUAAGUCAUAAAGCCAUGCAAGUGGAAAUAGGUUGAUGUGAAUAAAGCCAUGCAAGUGGAAAUAGGUUGAUGUGAAUAAAGCCAUGCAAGUGGUGUGUGUGUGUAAGAGAAGUCCUUCUUACACACCCAUCACCAUUUCUAUCACCUUUCAAAAAUAAUAAAUGUUUUGAUGAUAGAUAAGUCACACCCACCAACACAAAACAAAGACUUUAUGAAAUAAAUCAAAACUUUGAAUCAAAACAUCAAACCUUUUUGUCCUUUAGCGUUUUUAGGCCUUAACGUCAAAACGUAAACUUUCGGGUCAAAAUACAAAUACACAAAAGUAUCAAAACUUUAUGUAAUUGCAUAAAAGCCUCAAAAAUACCCUAUUUUAAUAGGGUGGCCGGUUUUAGGGAGAAAAAAGGAGUGGAGAUAAGUCCACAAAAAUUUGGAAAUUUUUCAACUAAGUCAUAAAGCCAUGCAAGUGGAAAUAGGUUGAUGUGAAUAAAGCCAUGCAAGUGGUGUGUGUGUGUGUAAGAGAAGUCCUUCUUACACACCCAUCACCAUUUCUAUCACCUUUCAAAAAUAAUAAAUGUUUUGAUGAUAGAUAAGUCACACCCACCAACACAAAACAAAGACUUUAUGAAAUAAAUCAAAACUUUGAAUCAAAACAUCAAACCUUUUUGUUCUUGGCAAGAACAUCAAGAACAAUGAAGAACAUCCAUGAAAACCCAAAAGAGCUCCAUGAAUGUUUUCAAGCAAUAAAACUCAAAUUUUCACCAUUCAAAAUGGGGCUAACAUCCUAGGGUACUUAGGGGUUCCAAAAGUCACUUUAAAACACUUUUAACAAGUCAAACAAGAACCCAAAAAAUCACCCUUUGGAUUUGGCCGAAAAUCCCCAAAAACUUGGCACCAAAUUUUAGCUCUAAUAUUCAUGCUCAUAUGAACUACAUCUACAACAUUUGAGAUGGCAAAUUUUCUAACAAAAUUUACAUUCAAAGAAACAAGAAUAAAGCUUGUAACAUAUUACAACUUUUAAAUCAAAACUAUGAAAUACAAAACCCAAAAGGAUUCACCAACUACUAGACCUAGGCUCUGAUACCACUUGAAGGAAGAUUUGUGAAAAACAUGUUCAUUUAAGCAACAUCUAUUAGCAUGCAAUUAACAAUUAAAGGCGGAAUCAUGCUUG
This 1532-nucleotide long non-coding RNA is filed under the name Malus domestica (apple). RNAcentral's name for it is "long non-coding RNA (MDOM_LNC004738)". The record is from RNAcentral. Lineage: Eukaryota; Viridiplantae; Streptophyta; Magnoliopsida; Rosales; Rosaceae.